This 756-nucleotide ribosomal RNA is filed under the name Gammarus sp. TVS2. Its description in RNAcentral is "partial 28S ribosomal RNA". It matches the Rfam family "Eukaryotic large subunit ribosomal RNA", at positions 337 to 747 of the family's 3401-position model. Lineage: Eukaryota; Metazoa; Arthropoda; Malacostraca; Amphipoda; Gammaridae. The record is from RNAcentral.
AUAGCGAACAAGUACCGUGAGGGAAAGUUGAAAAGCACUCUGGAGAGAGAGUCAAAAGACCGUGAAACCGCUCAGAGUAUAAGCCCAUGGCAGCUUGGAAGGCAUAUCGCUAGCGGGGCAUCGGUCUCCCUUCACGGGGAGCUGGUGUUACCUUGCUUCUGUUGUGGCUCGUUAUGGUAGGGGGGUCAGGUCCACAUCCCGCCGUCGUGUGGGGAGUUCUCGGGCGUGUCGCGGCCUUGCGGUUGACUUCGGUUGGCCGUGGGGCUCUUCGUGCUUGGUUCUUCUUUAGACACGGACGUUCAGACUCAGUUGCAAGACGCGAUAACCAGCCCACCACGGCACGUUGUGAGGUCACCCUCAGGCUCGACUUUCGAUUGUGGUCCUUGACGCCGAGCAAGCACUGUGCGUGUCGCAGAUUUCCUAACCAGGCAAAACUCGUUUGUCAGGAUCGUGGAACGACACGCGCUCAACAGUCAGGACCGGGCGAUGACAGAGUUCUGGUACGAUCCUCAUGCGACGAGCCGCCUUCUGGCCGAUUUCCGAUGCUCAGGUCUCCCGCAUGUGCCGCGGGAGAUCGCUUUGACGGUCUGGAGCUUUCACAAGUCCUCUCAGUCGGGCAACGGAAAGAGUGGUGUAAAGUCCAAGCCCAUCGGUCACGUCUCGAAACACGGGCCAAGGAGUAUAGCAUGUGUGCAAGUCUAAGGGUCUCACAAAACCCGAAGGCGAAGUGAAAGCAAGUAUGCGGCGGGUGAUCUA